RNAcentral lists this ribosomal RNA (497 nucleotides) under uncultured bacterium. RNAcentral describes it as "partial 16S ribosomal RNA". It matches the Rfam family "Bacterial small subunit ribosomal RNA", at positions 28 to 507 of the family's 1533-position model. The record is from RNAcentral.
GAUGAACGCUGGCGGCGUGCCUAAUACAUGCAAGUCGAGCGAACGGACGAGAAGCUUGCUUUUCUGAUGUUAGCGGCGGACGGGUGAGUAACACGUGGAUAACCUACCUAUAAGACUGGGAUAACUUCGGGAAACCGGAGCUAAUACCGGAUAAUAUUUUGAACCGCAUGGUUCAAAAGUGAAAGACGGUCUUGCUGUCACUUAUAGAUGGAUCCGCGCUGCAUUAGCUAGUUGGUAAGGUAACGGCUUACCAAGGCAACGAUGCAUAGCCGACCUGAGAGGGUGAUCGGCCACUCUGGAACUGAGACACGGUCCAGACUCCUACGGGAGGCAGCAGUAGGGAAUCUUCCGCAAAGGGCGAAAGCCUGACGGAGCAACGCCGCGUGAGUGAUGAAGGUCUUCGGAUCGUAAAACUCUGUUAUUAGGGAAGAACAUAUGUGUAAGUAACUGUGCACAUCUUGACGGUACCUAAUCAGAAAGCCACGGCUAACUACGUG